Molecule: ribosomal RNA, 107 nt
Filed under: Gossypium arboreum
Lineage: Eukaryota; Viridiplantae; Streptophyta; Magnoliopsida; Malvales; Malvaceae
Source: RNAcentral
GUCAUAUUUAACACCAGCACUAAUGCACCGGAUCCUAUUAGAACUCCGCAGUUAAGCGUGCUUGGGCGAGAGUAGUACUAGGAUGGGUGACCUCCUGGGAAGUCCUC